GGGAAUGCAGCUUAGUGGUACAGUGCAUGCCUAGCAUGCAUGAAGCCCUGGGUUCAAUUCCUCAGUACCA
RNAcentral lists this transfer RNA (70 nucleotides) under Dipodomys ordii (Ord's kangaroo rat). It matches the Rfam family "tRNA". From Rfam's summary of the family: Transfer RNA (tRNA) molecules are approximately 80 nucleotides in length. Lineage: Eukaryota; Metazoa; Chordata; Mammalia; Rodentia; Heteromyidae. The record is from Rfam by way of RNAcentral.